GGCUGGUCCGAAGGUAGUGUUAUCUCACUUGAUUGUUCAUAGUCAGUUACAGGUUGAACUUGUUCUACUACUUUCCCACCUUCUCACUAUUGCACCUGACUAGUCUUAA
RNAcentral lists this Y RNA (109 nucleotides) under Microcebus murinus (gray mouse lemur). Its description in RNAcentral is "Y RNA (ENSMICG00000042531.1)". It matches the Rfam family "Y RNA". From Rfam's summary of the family: Y RNAs are components of the Ro ribonucleoprotein particle (Ro RNP), in association with Ro60 and La proteins. The Y RNAs and Ro60 and La proteins are well conserved, but the function of the Ro RNP is not known. In humans the RNA component can be one of four small RNAs -- hY1, hY3, hY4 and hY5. Lineage: Eukaryota; Metazoa; Chordata; Mammalia; Primates; Cheirogaleidae. The record is from Rfam by way of RNAcentral.